GGAAGAGUGGCCGAGUGGUUUAAGGCACUGGUCUUGAAAACCAGCGACGGUGUGAGCCGUCCGUGGGUUCGAAUCCCACCUCUUCCGCCA
Molecule: transfer RNA, 90 nt
Filed under: Brevundimonas diminuta
Lineage: Bacteria; Pseudomonadati; Pseudomonadota; Alphaproteobacteria; Caulobacterales; Caulobacteraceae
Description: tRNA-Ser(tga)
Rfam family: tRNA
About the family: Transfer RNA (tRNA) molecules are approximately 80 nucleotides in length. Their secondary structure includes four short double-helical elements and three loops (D, anti-codon, and T loops).
Source: RNAcentral